RNAcentral lists this ribosomal RNA (368 nucleotides) under uncultured bacterium. RNAcentral's name for it is "partial 16S ribosomal RNA". It matches the Rfam family "Bacterial small subunit ribosomal RNA", at positions 338 to 698 of the family's 1533-position model. The record is from RNAcentral.
CCUACGGGAGUCAGCAGUGGGGAAUAUUGCGCAAUGGGCGAAAGCCUGACGCAGCGAUGCCGCGUGAGGGAUGAAGGUCUUCGGAUCGUAAACCUCUGUUUGCACGGAAGAACGGUCACUGUGCUAAUCAGCAGUGAAUUGACGGUACCUGAAAAGGAAGCAACGGCUAACUCCGUGCCAGCAGCCGCGGUAAUACGGAGGGUGCGAGCGUUAAUCGGAAUUACUGGGCGUAAAGCGCUCGUAGGCGGUAUGUCAAGUCAAGGGUGAAAUCCCCGCGCUCAACGUGGGAACUGCCUUUGAUACUGGCAAACUAGAGUGUGUGAGCGGAUAGUGGAAUUGCAGGUGUAGGAGUGAAAUCCGUAGAUAUC